This 614-nucleotide ribosomal RNA is filed under the name Escherichia coli. Its description in RNAcentral is "partial 23S ribosomal RNA". It matches the Rfam family "Bacterial large subunit ribosomal RNA", at positions 2253 to 2861 of the family's 2925-position model. The record is from RNAcentral. Lineage: Bacteria; Pseudomonadati; Pseudomonadota; Gammaproteobacteria; Enterobacterales; Enterobacteriaceae.
AGUGUCUGGUGGGUAGUUUGACUGGGGCGGUCUCCUCCUAAAGAGUAACGGAGGAGCACGAAGGUUGGCUAAUCCUGGUCGGACAUCAGGAGGUUAGUGCAAUGGCAUAAGCCAGCUUGACUGCGAGCGUGACGGCGCGAGCAGGUGCGAAAGCAGGUCAUAGUGAUCCGGUGGUUCUGAAUGGAAGGGCCAUCGCUCAACGGAUAAAAGGUACUCCGGGGAUAACAGGCUGAUACCGCCCAAGAGUUCAUAUCGACGGCGGUGUUUGGCACCUCGAUGUCGGCUCAUCACAUCCUGGGGCUGAAGUAGGUCCCAAGGGUAUGGCUGUUCGCCAUUUAAAGUGGUACGCGAGCUGGGUUUAGAACGUCGUGAGACAGUUCGGUCCCUAUCUGCCGUGGGCGCUGGAGAACUGAGGGGGGCUGCUCCUAGUACGAGAGGACCGGAGUGGACGCAUCACUGGUGUUCGGGUUGUCAUGCCAAUGGCACUGCCCGGUAGCUAAAUGCGGAAGAGAUAAGUGCUGAAAGCAUCUAAGCACGAAACUUGCCCCGAGAUGAGUUCUCCCUGACUCCUUGAGAGUCCUGAAGGAACGUUGAAGACGACGACGUUGAUAGGC